AUGUGUGUUGUGACUGUGACAGAUGGUUCUACUGGAUAUGCUGUUGGGUAUAUAACAAGAAGCAUUGGUAAGGAUAUCAAAAUACAAGAGAAUGCUGCAACGACCAAGGAGGAUUCAGAAUAUGAAGUUACUGGAAACAUUGUUGGAAGUGUUGGUCCUGAGAGCACAGAAAAGGAUUCAUCGUUUCUUAUAAAAACAUUACGAUCAUUCAAAGAAGCUUUGAUUAAGGAGGAUGACACAAAUGUUGCUGAGAUUGAGGCCUUCUUACUUUGCAUUGAUGUCGAUGAUGAGAAGAACUCUCUUAUGAGGAAAAUCAUUGCUUUGAAUUAUUGA
This 333-nucleotide ribosomal RNA is filed under the name Triticum aestivum (bread wheat). RNAcentral describes it as "partial small subunit ribosomal RNA". The record is from RNAcentral. Lineage: Eukaryota; Viridiplantae; Streptophyta; Magnoliopsida; Poales; Poaceae.